Long non-coding RNA from Canis lupus familiaris (dog), 2043 nucleotides. RefSeq lists it as uncharacterized. The record is from RefSeq and is a predicted model, not a curated record. The transcript is spliced from 2 exons. Lineage: Eukaryota; Metazoa; Chordata; Mammalia; Carnivora; Canidae.
AGGCAGCUUUUCCGACCCAGCCCCGAGCCCGCGCGGGGGCUCCCCCUUGCCCGGCCGGGUCCUCCCCUUCCUGCCGGCUGCUGGCUGCGGCCCCAGCUCCAGCGCCCCGGGGCUGAAGCCGAACACCCUCGGCCCCGUGGUCUUCGCCCCGAGGUCCUCCCCGCCUCCCAGGACUCGGGGCUCCCCGAGGUCGCAGGGAGGAGGGGCUGCAGGUCUCAGGGUUCCUCCUUCGACUUGCCCGGACUCAGCUUUCAGUUGUGCAACGGGAGAGCGGGACCCGGGCGUGGCCCGGCUGCGCCUCGACCCUUCUCCUUAAACAGUAACAGGAUGACUGCAUUGUGUCAGGCUCUGUGGAGGUACCGGGGGCCUGAAAGUCUAGGAGGAAAGACAGACAAAUUCACCACCACAUGACCAUGGACGAAGGGUAAGGGCUGGCAGAGAUAUUCCAAGAGCACUACAGGAUCCUGAGGGACCUCUCACUCUGACCGUGAUGGGCUGGCUGGGGAGACGGGGAGCUCAAGGGCUCCUUCCUCCUGCCAUGUUUGACUUGACUGAGUUGUAACCUCCUCCACAUGACCUCCACCUUGUAUCUUCUCUUCAUCCCCCCUGUUGCAGGAGCUGUUCAGGAGCUCAUCACUUCUCAUCAGGAAACAUGUAAACUGAGAAAAAGAAAGACAGGAUGGAAACUGGAGAAAAAGCCAGUGGAACCUGAGAAGGAGCUACGGGGGGCGGGGGGGGGGGGGGGUAGGAGGAAGCUAGGAAGGAAGUAGGUACCAGAGGCCGAGGGAGGAGGGGCUCCUGAAAGGAAGGGGCUGAUCCGGCAAUAUGACAUUUCACUCAAAGGUUGGGUCAGACAAUGGAUGAAGAGUGUCCAUUAGAUCUGACAGCUGAGAGGUUGUGGUAACCUGGCCAGGGGGUAGGAUUCAGGAGGAUUCAAAUCUGAGGUACUCAUGGUUUGAAUAGUCCCCUUCCUUUGUAUGAUAUUUUUUCUACACUGCCACUUACUUCUGGAAUGGAAGUUAACUCAAGAAAACCUGGAUCUUUUAGCUGAUGUUCAAGUCCCUACCAAUCCCACUGAAAUGUACCUGUCCUAUCAGCCAUCUUGAGACUCUCCACCAGGUUUGCUCUACUCCAUAGUGACAUUGUCCAGAGUAAACCAGAAAAAGAAGAAGAAGAAGAAGAAGAAGAAGAAGAAGAAGAAGAAGAAGAAGAAGAAGAAGAAGAAGAAUCAUCUUUGCAAAUAGGCAAAGAUGUAGGCAAAAUAUUCCAAGGCUCUCCAAGCCUCCUUUCCCUUAUGAUGUGUAUCUGAGUAGGAGCAUCAUGCUUCUGACUGUUGAAUUAUCCAGGAGAAUGGCUUAAGUGGUAAAGUCCGUGCAUAAACAAGAUGAAGGUGUGCUAGUCAGUAGUUGGAGAAUAUGUUUAGACCACAGGAGCUUUGUCAUGUGCUCUGUUCUUGAAUAUUUUUGUGCCCCCCUCCCACAUUCCCAUAUUAGAAUCCUAAUGCCCAAUGUGGUACCAUAGGAGCCAGGGCCUUUAGAUGAUUAAAUCAUGAGGGCAGAGCUCUCGUGGAGAGUAAUGCCAUUACAAAAGAUGCCCCAGGAGAGCUCCCUUGCCCCUUCUGCGUGUGAGGAUACAAGGAGAAGUCUGCAGCUGGGAAGAGAGUGCUCACUGGACUCUACUGGCACCCUGAUCACAGACUUGCAGCCUCCAGAAGUGCUAGAAAAACACUUCUGCUGCAUAAGCUCCCCAGCCUGUAGUAUUUUGUUACAGCAGCCAGGAUGGACUAGGACACCUUGCUUUUCAGAUCACACUGGGCUUGUGUCUGGGUGGCUGAUGGGGUGGCAGGAGGGAAAGAGAAUGGAGAUGGAAGGAUGGAGCGACAGAGGAUAAAGAGAGAAAAGAAUAAACAGCAGAUGAAGUAAUUUUUAGUUUUCACUGUUACCAAACAAGAACUUGAGUCACACAUAUACCUGUAACGAGGCCCAUAGGUUUUCCUUCUCAUCCUUUAUGUGCCUGCAGAUAAUAAAACACCUGCAAAAUACC